Halichondria panicea is the source of this 386-nucleotide long non-coding RNA. RefSeq lists it as uncharacterized. The record is from RefSeq and is a predicted model, not a curated record. Lineage: Eukaryota; Metazoa; Porifera; Demospongiae; Suberitida; Halichondriidae. The transcript is spliced from 4 exons.
GGAGAAGUUAAAGCAAAGAUACACAUAUACAAUUAUGAAGCUUGUGGGUAGAUCAUAAUCAUGAUCAGCUUUGUUUUGUGGUUUAGUGGUGUGAGUACUCACUUCAACAUUCAACUUUGAAUGAUUCAACCUACUUGAAAAGUACUGUAGUAGGGAGAUCAAGUUCGAUGCCCCGGCCAGUACACCUGCUCCAGAAGUUGGAGAGUCGGUGAUCGACUACAGUGUACUUGUCUCAAGUAGAGGACACUAAAGGGAACAAUGGACACAGAGGUAAAGUGUUUGUGACCAACCUGCGAGUGAUUUGGACGUCAGCUGACUAUCAGAGAGUCAACCUUUCCAUUGGUUACCACACAGUGACCUCAGUGACUACAAAGAGAGUGAAUUCU